This 2925-nucleotide ribosomal RNA is filed under the name Salmonella enterica. Its description in RNAcentral is "bacterial LSU rRNA". It matches the Rfam family "Bacterial large subunit ribosomal RNA". Lineage: Bacteria; Pseudomonadati; Pseudomonadota; Gammaproteobacteria; Enterobacterales; Enterobacteriaceae. The record is from RNAcentral.
GGGUUGUGAGGUUAAGCGACUAAGCGUACACGGUGGAUGCCCUGGCAGUCAGAGGCGAUGAAGGGCGUGCUAAUCUGCGAUAAGCGCCGGUAAGGUGAUAUGAACCGUUAUAACCGGCGAUACCCGAAUGGGGAAACCCAGUGUGACUCGUCACACUAUCAUUAACUGAAUCCAUAGGUUAAUGAGGCGAACCGGGGGAACUGAAACAUCUAAGUACCCCGAGGAAAAGAAAUCAACCGAGAUUCCCCCAGUAGCGGCGAGCGAACGGGGAGGAGCCCAGAGCCUGAAUCAGCAUGUGUGUUAGUGGAAGCGUCUGGAAAGGCGCGCGAUACAGGGUGACAGCCCCGUACACAAAAGCGCAUGUGCUGUGAGCUCGAUGAGUAGGGCGGGACACGUGGUAUCCUGUCUGAAUAUGGGGGGACCAUCCUCCAAGGCUAAAUACUCCUGACUGACCGAUAGUGAACCAGUACCGUGAGGGAAAGGCGAAAAGAACCCCGGCGAGGGGAGUGAAAAAGAACCUGAAACCGUGUACGUACAAGCAGUGGGAGCACCCUUUGGGGUGUGACUGCGUACCUUUUGUAUAAUGGGUCAGCGACUUAUAUUCUGUAGCAAGGUUAACCGAAUAGGGGAGCCGGAGGGAAACCGAGUCUUAAUUGGGCGUUAAGUUGCAGGGUAUAGACCCGAAACCCGGUGAUCUAGCCAUGGGCAGGUUGAAGGUUGGGUAACACUAACUGGAGGACCGAACCGACUAAUGUUGAAAAAUUAGCGGAUGACCUGUGGCUGGGGGUGAAAGGCCAAUCAAACCGGGAGAUAGCUGGUUCUCCCCGAAAGCUAUUUAGGUAGCGCCUCGUGAAUUCAUCUCCGGGGGUAGAGCACUGUUUCGGCUAGGGGGCCAUCCCGGCUUACCAACCCGAUGCAAACUGCGAAUACCGGAGAAUGUUAUCACGGGAGACACACGGCGGGUGCUAACGUCCGUCGUGAAGAGGGAAACAACCCAGACCGCCAGCUAAGGUCCCAAAGUCAUGGUUAAGUGGGAAACGAUGUGGGAAGGCCCAGACAGCCAGGAUGUUGGCUUAGAAGCAGCCAUCAUUUAAAGAAAGCGUAAUAGCUCACUGGUCGAGUCGGCCUGCGCGGAAGAUGUAACGGGGCUAAACCAUGCACCGAAGCUGCGGCAGCGACACUCAGGUGUUGUUGGGUAGGGGAGCGUUCUGUAAGCCUGCGAAGGUGGCCUGUGAGGGUUGCUGGAGGUAUCAGAAGUGCGAAUGCUGACAUAAGUAACGAUAAAGCGGGUGAAAAGCCCGCUCGCCGGAAGACCAAGGGUUCCUGUCCAACGUUAAUCGGGGCAGGGUGAGUCGACCCCUAAGGCGAGGCCGAAAGGCGUAGUCGAUGGGAAACGGGUUAAUAUUCCCGUACUUGGUGUUACUGCGAAGGGGGGACGGAGAAGGCUAUGUUGGCCGGGCGACGGUUGUCCCGGUUUAAGCGUGUAGGCUGGUUUUCCAGGCAAAUCCGGAAAAUCAAGGCUGAGGCGUGACGACGAGGCACUACGGUGCUGAAGCAACAAAUGCCCUGCUUCCAGGAAAAGCCUCUAAGCAUCAGGUAACACGAAAUCGUACCCCAAACCGACACAGGUGGUCAGGUAGAGAAUACCAAGGCGCUUGAGAGAACUCGGGUGAAGGAACUAGGCAAAAUGGUGCCGUAACUUCGGGAGAAGGCACGCUGACAUGUAGGUGAAGUGAUUUACUCAUGGAGCUGAAGUCAGUCGAAGAUACCAGCUGGCUGCAACUGUUUAUUAAAAACACAGCACUGUGCAAACACGAAAGUGGACGUAUACGGUGUGACGCCUGCCCGGUGCCGGAAGGUUAAUUGAUGGGGUCAGCGCAAGCGAAGCUCCUGAUCGAAGCCCCGGUAAACGGCGGCCGUAACUAUAACGGUCCUAAGGUAGCGAAAUUCCUUGUCGGGUAAGUUCCGACCUGCACGAAUGGCGUAAUGAUGGCCAGGCUGUCUCCACCCGAGACUCAGUGAAAUUGAACUCGCUGUGAAGAUGCAGUGUACCCGCGGCAAGACGGAAAGACCCCGUGAACCUUUACUAUAGCUUGACACUGAACAUUGAGCCUUGAUGUGUAGGAUAGGUGGGAGGCUUUGAAGUGUGGACGCCAGUCUGCAUGGAGCCGACCUUGAAAUACCACCCUUUAAUGUUUGAUGUUCUAACGUGGACCCGUGAUCCGGGUUGCGGACAGUGUCUGGUGGGUAGUUUGACUGGGGCGGUCUCCUCCUAAAGAGUAACGGAGGAGCACGAAGGUUGGCUAAUCCUGGUCGGACAUCAGGAGGUUAGUGCAAUGGCAUAAGCCAGCUUGACUGCGAGCGUGACGGCGCGAGCAGGUGCGAAAGCAGGUCAUAGUGAUCCGGUGGUUCUGAAUGGAAGGGCCAUCGCUCAACGGAUAAAAGGUACUCCGGGGAUAACAGGCUGAUACCGCCCAAGAGUUCAUAUCGACGGCGGUGUUUGGCACCUCGAUGUCGGCUCAUCACAUCCUGGGGCUGAAGUAGGUCCCAAGGGUAUGGCUGUUCGCCAUUUAAAGUGGUACGCGAGCUGGGUUUAGAACGUCGUGAGACAGUUCGGUCCCUAUCUGCCGUGGGCGCUGGAGAACUGAGGGGGGCUGCUCCUAGUACGAGAGGACCGGAGUGGACGCAUCACUGGUGUUCGGGUUGUCAUGCCAAUGGCACUGCCCGGUAGCUAAAUGCGGAAGAGAUAAGUGCUGAAAGCAUCUAAGCACGAAACUUGCCCCGAGAUGAGUUCUCCCUGAGACUUUAGGUCUCCUGAAGGAACGUUGAAGACGACGACGUUGAUAGGCCGGGUGUGUAAGCGCAGCGAUGCGUUGAGCUAACCGGUACUAAUGAACCGUGAGGCUUAACCUUACAACGCCGAAG